UGGGGAAUUUUGGACAAUGGGCGCAAGCCUGAUCCAGCAAUGCCGCGUGUGUGAAGAAGGCCUUCGGGUUGUAAAGCACUUUUGUCCGGAAAGAAAACCUUCGCCCGAAUACGGUGGGGGGAUGACGGUACCGGAAGAAUCAGCACCGGCUAACUACGUGCCAGCAGCCGCGGUAAUACGUAGGGUGCGAGCGUUAAUCGGAAUUACUGGGCGUAAAGCGUGCGCAGGCGGUUCGCUAAGACCGAUGUGAAAUCCCCGGGCUCAACCUGGGAACUGCAUUGGUGACUGGCGGGCUAGAGUAUGGCAGAGGGGGGUAGAAUUCCACGUGUAGCAGUGAAAUGCGUAGAGAUGUGGAGGAAUACCGAUGGCGAAGGCAGCCCCCUGGGCCAAUACUGACGCU
RNAcentral lists this ribosomal RNA (400 nucleotides) under uncultured bacterium. Its description in RNAcentral is "bacterial SSU rRNA". It matches the Rfam family "Bacterial small subunit ribosomal RNA", at positions 355 to 747 of the family's 1533-position model. The record is from RNAcentral.